Molecule: ribosomal RNA, 205 nt
Filed under: uncultured bacterium
Lineage: Bacteria
Description: partial 16S ribosomal RNA
Rfam family: Bacterial small subunit ribosomal RNA
Source: RNAcentral
UACAGAGGGUGCGAGCGUUGUCCGGAAUCACUGGGCGUAAAGGGCGCGUAGGUGGUGGCUUAAGCGUGCGGUGAAAGCUCGGAGCUCAACUCCGAGUCGGCCGUGCGAACUGGGCUCACUGGAGCAUAGUAGAGGCAGGUGGAAUUCCGGGUGUAGCGGUGGAAUGCGUGGAGAUCCGGAAGAACACCGGUGGCGAAGGCGGCCU